This is a non-coding RNA of Camelina sativa (false flax), 2242 nucleotides long. Lineage: Eukaryota; Viridiplantae; Streptophyta; Magnoliopsida; Brassicales; Brassicaceae. The record is from RefSeq and is a predicted model, not a curated record.
UUAUUACAACAUUGGAGAAAAAUCAAUUUGAGAAUUUAGGUUUCAAUCGAUCUCAAGUGACGACGAACUUGUGAGUGUGUAUGUGUGACUGUUGUGAACUCUCUCUGCUUCUUCGAAUGUGACGAGAAGAAGUUACGAAAGGAUAUGUCUCGGCUUUGAUUUACCUUCUUUUAACUCUGUAUAUGUUACUCUCUCUCUCUCUCUCUCUCUCUCUCUCUAUCUAUUGCGACAAGCCUUGACCUUGAUCGAUCCCUCUUUUACAAUUCCGAUACCCUUUUGAAAUUUCACAAUUCUUUCGUAUUCCUAAUGUUUCCAGGUUCAGUUCAAGUGGUAAAGUCUUUAUCUUUCCGUCUUUGAGUUCAUGAUUCCGGUUCUGAGUAGUGAAACUUUGGAGUUAUGGACAAAAUUAGUCAAUUGUCCGAUGAUGUACUCAUCAAGAUAUUAUCAUUAGUUCCAACAAAAGAUGCCAUCGCCAUGAGCACUUUGUCUAAACGAUGGGUGUCUCUUUGGACAUUGGUGCCAAGACUUGUCUUUGAUGAUUACUCAGACUCAGAGGAUGAAGAUGAAGAAGAGAAUCAAUCCAGAAACCUGGCGCAGUUUGUUUCCGGGACGUUGCUGUUACAUAAGGCAGCGGUUCUUGAAUGUUUUCAUCUCAACAUUGCUUCAGAAUGUAGCGGUUCCGAGGUUGGUUUAUGGGUUCGAAUCGCAGUUGAUCGUUUUGUGCGUGAUCUCAAGAUAAGUUUUUAUAAUGAUCAUGGCCCUGUUACGUUGCCAAGUAGGCUUUUUAGAUGUGAGGCAAUUGAGACUUUGGAACUCUGUAGAGUGAUUGCUUUGGACGUUCCUUCUCGGUUUAGCUUUCGUUCUCUCAAGAAGUUACGCCUUCUCUCUGUGAGGUACUCAGAUGAGGACUCUUUCUCUAGGUUUAUAUCAAAUUGUCCUGUUCUUGAAGAUUUGGUUGUGGAAACUUGUGACGAGGACAAUGUGGUGACAUUCACUGUUAAUGUGGCGUCCCUACAGAGUUUAUCCGUUUCUCGUACAUUACGAGAUUUACCAAAUCCUGAUGAAGUGUUUGUGAUACAUUCCCAUGGUUUGAAGCAGUUGAAAGUUAUGGACUACUUUGGUGAACUUAAUCUGAUAGGUAAUAUGCCCAAACUUGUAGAGGCAAAUCUUCAAUACGAGUGCCUCUAUGCCAAGGUUUUGGAACCUUUUACCUUUGUCAAGCGUCUUUAUCUCUGCUUAUUUGGAGAGGCUCAGUAUCUUACUGGUAUCGUUCUAUCCCAGCUUGUAUGUUUGGAGCUAUGUACCUGUGAAGAUAAUUGGACUAAUAUGCUUGUGAGUGUGCUCCAGCAUGCCCCUAAACUACAAGUUCUCAAGCUUGAGCUGAACCAUGACCAUUGUCUAGCUACGGUUCGUAAUGUUUGUUGGAUCCAGCCCGAGCGUGUUCCUGAAUGUUUCUUGUACCAACUCAAAACAUUUGAAUGGAGAAACUAUGGAGGAACACAAGUAGAGAAAGAACUGGCCAUGUACAUUUUGAAGAACGCGAGGCGAUUAGUGACUGCAACUAUCUACCCUGACUCAGUCAAGUUGGCGCGCAAACAUAAGAUGUUUGAGAAACUGGAAAUUGCAACUAGGAGUUCAAGAGCUUGUGAGCUUACAAUGGGAUAGAAAUUAAUCUCACCAAGUGUUGAAACUGUCCAGUUAACUAGUUUAAUGCGCAGUAUCCUACUGGUAGCGUUUUACUUCAACUCGUGCGUUUGGAGUUAUGUGUGCUCAGAGAACUGGUCGAACAUGUUUGAGUCUGUGCUCCAACAUUCCCCUAAACUUCAUAUUCUCAAGCUUGCGAUGAAUCAUUGUAUAGCUGUGGAUCGUAAAGUUGGCUGGAUUCAACCGAGUUGUGUUCCGGAAUGUUUAUUGUUCAAUCUCAAAUCCUUGGAGUGGAGACAAGGAAGAGAAGAAGAGAAAGAAGUUGCUAUGUAUAUUUUGAAUUAGGCAAAGCGAUUAGUGACCGCAACUAUCGAUCUUGAAUUAGUCACUUUGGCGUGCAGACUUAAAGUGAUCGAUGAAUUGGUAUUUGCUACGAGAGGCUCAAGAGCAUGUGAGCUUACAGUGUGCUGACCGCUGAAGAAAAUUUUACAUUGUUGAAAGUAUUUGUAACUUUUCAGUAACUAGUUGAAUGUGGAUUUAAAGCUAUUACAUUCUUGUAAAAUGAUUUGCUUUUUGUCUUGUUCAUGGUUACAAAGCC